UCUGGAAGCUUUGAAGGUGUUGCUGCUGUGUUACUCGUGCAGAGAGGAGAGAGGCUGUGUCUGCACUCAGUGUCCUGACCUGUGAACAUCUGAAUAAAUGAUUAGCAGCUUAACAUU
This 117-nucleotide small nucleolar RNA is filed under the name Meriones unguiculatus (Mongolian gerbil). Its description in RNAcentral is "Small nucleolar RNA SNORA17 (ENSMUGG00000005917.1)". It matches the Rfam family "Small nucleolar RNA SNORA17". Rfam says of the family: snoRNA ACA 17 belongs to the H/ACA family of snoRNAs and is predicted to guide pseudouridylation of the 28S rRNA at positions U4659 and U4598. It shares the same host gene together with ACA43. Lineage: Eukaryota; Metazoa; Chordata; Mammalia; Rodentia; Muridae. The record is from RNAcentral.